Long non-coding RNA from Pieris rapae (cabbage white), 896 nucleotides. RefSeq lists it as uncharacterized. NCBI's taxonomy places the organism in Eukaryota, Metazoa, Arthropoda, Insecta, Lepidoptera, Pieridae. The record is from RefSeq and is a predicted model, not a curated record. The transcript has 2 exons.
AAAGUUUUAUGUACCUGUUCCGUGUUAGAUGUUAGAUUUCAAGUAGAGUGUUAGAUUUCAACUUUUAUACAAGAGGUGUGUACAGCUAUUAUAGAAGGAUUAAAAUAAUACAUCAAGAUGCCGUCAGGAGUAACAGAAUGGAAACAAGUUGCAAAAGAUUUCGAGGGAAGAAGUUCAAUUUAUCAAUCGAUAUGAUACAUACGUAAUACAGAGAUAUGUACAUUUAUAAUGACUAAAAUAUUUUAUUAAAGAUACUUACGUUAGAAGUUUUCAUUUUCACUAUGUAAUCCUAUAUUCGUGGUAUUUUGAGUAAAGAGAAACGAUAUCGCAUCUUAAGCAAACCACUUUACUGUUUUACCGCCAGCACUACCACUUUUAUUCUUUUUCUCCUCAUUAUUUGCGUAAGUUCUUAGGCUUCUGAAUUUUUUGUAAGCCUCGUUACUUGUUAUGCCAAACUUUUCAGCGAUUUCAUUCCAUGCAUCUUUUUUAGAAUUUCUAUCUUUGUAUGAGCCGGUUUUUAUAUCCCACAACUCGGGGUGCAAAUGUAUUUCUUCAAUAAAAUCAGUAAUUGUCUUGUUAGACCAGUAACCAUUUUUACGUAGUUGUCAAAAUGCAGCUGAUCGCAAAACACAGAAUAUAGCAACAGGCACACUUCACUCAUAGCAAACUUCAUGUCGCGUAGAAAAGGAUACACUAUGCCAUAUCAAAGAGAGUGACUGAAACAACAAUAGAACUGGCUGUGCAAUAUUGCAGUUGAAUUCGAUAGCCUAGCGAUCGUUCGGCAACCCAUCGGGGCCAUAUCGGCCAUAAGUGGCUACACAAAACAUGUUUGGCUAUAUGGCCGGGACAUUACUGCAAUAUUGCAUAGUGUGGCUGACAUUGUUUGCAAUGUUGCC